Brienomyrus brachyistius is the source of this 300-nucleotide long non-coding RNA. RefSeq lists it as uncharacterized. The transcript has 3 exons. The record is from RefSeq and is a predicted model, not a curated record. Lineage: Eukaryota; Metazoa; Chordata; Actinopteri; Osteoglossiformes; Mormyridae.
GUUUAUACCAGGAGAUGCUGGAGCAGAGCAACCUGGACCAUCAGAGACUCGUCUCAUCCCAGCUUCUGUCUGUUUGAGCUGCUGAAAUCAGAUCAAUCCAAUGGAAUUCAAGAUAAUUGUAGGGAUCGUGAAUGAGAAUCAUCACUGGAUGUUAACAGGCAUUCCUGCUCAGCAAAGGCUGCAGUCUUCCAAGGUGGACCUGCAGUUCUCUCCCUCACAAACGUCAGAAAGGCAGCACAUCUUGUGGAGUCUUGGCUUUGAAAGCAAGUGUUGAAUAGUUGUUUCCAUGGACACUUUGUA